RNAcentral lists this ribosomal RNA (253 nucleotides) under uncultured bacterium. Its description in RNAcentral is "partial 16S ribosomal RNA". It matches the Rfam family "Bacterial small subunit ribosomal RNA", at positions 524 to 776 of the family's 1533-position model. The record is from RNAcentral.
GACAGAGGGUGCAAACGUUGCUCGGAAUUACUGGGCGUAAAGCGCGUGUAGGCGGACCCGCAAGUCGGACGUGAAAUCCCUGAGCUCAACUCAGGAACUGCAUCCGAAACUGCGGGUCUGGAGUGGUGGAGAGGGAAGCAGAAUUCCUGGUGUAGAGGUGAAAUUCGUAGAUAUCAGGAGGAACACCGGUGGCGAAGGCGGCUCGCUGGACCUCUUCUGACGCUGAGGCGCGAAAGCUAGGGGAGCGAACGGG